This 343-nucleotide long non-coding RNA is filed under the name Panax ginseng (ginseng). RNAcentral describes it as "long non-coding RNA (PGIN_LNC017391)". Lineage: Eukaryota; Viridiplantae; Streptophyta; Magnoliopsida; Apiales; Araliaceae. The record is from RNAcentral.
AAAAGAAAAAGAAAAAAAAAGGUGAAAGUCUGUGCGUAGUACUCGGUUGCUAUACUCUAUGUAAAUCACCUACUUUUCAAUUGGAUUUAUUUUAUUUGGUAAAAACACUUUGGUUUGGAUGCCUCGUGAAACUGUAUACUAUAAUGAGGUUUUGAUAGCAUAUGCUGCUUGUUCUUAAUAUUUGUUGGCUUGAAUGCCUCAUGAAACUGAAUGAAAUGUGAGGUCUUGAUAGCACAUUCUUGUUCUUAAUACUUUGUUACUUGCAUGGCACAUAAUUUGAACCGUAACACCCCCAAAUCCGGGUCCCUUGAACCUUGGGUCUAUUGCGUUAUGGUACUACACA